UUUUGUCCGGGACGAAAAUGNCUGUNCUAAUACAAUAAGCCCCGGACAGUUCCGUGCCAACAACCACCGGCAUACUACGUGCCCUCACCCGCGGUAAUAUUUCUGGUGCUANCGUUAAUCUNAAUUACUGGGCGUAAAGCGUGCGCAAGCCCUUAUCUCANACAGAUGUGAAAUCCCCGGGCUCAACCUGGGAACUGCAUUUGAGACUGNUUAGCUUNAGUNCGGUAAAGGGGGAUGGAAUUCCNCNUGUAACAAUGAAAUGGGUAAAUGCGCCNANGAACACCGAUNGCGAAGGCAAUCCCCUGGACCUGUACUGACACUCAUGCUCAAAANCCCGGGGAGCCAACACGAUUAAAUACCCUGGUANUCCACGCCCUAAACUAUGUCAACUGGUUGUUGGGUC
RNAcentral lists this ribosomal RNA (403 nucleotides) under uncultured bacterium. RNAcentral describes it as "partial 16S ribosomal RNA". It matches the Rfam family "Bacterial small subunit ribosomal RNA", at positions 434 to 829 of the family's 1533-position model. The record is from RNAcentral.